GCAGGAAAGGGGCGUGAGAGUGAGGCCAGCAUGGUCUACCCAGGGGGGUGAAGGGCGCUGCAAGUUCCUAGGGCAGCCAUGUAUAUGAUAACAGCGUUCUGAAAAAGAUUUAUAGAUAAUGAUCUACAAUUACUUACUAGCACCUAAAUACACAAAAGAACUUGGAAUUCCAAGUCACAAGACCUGAAUUCCAGUCUACAGGAAUGGCAGCAGGCGGGCAUGGAGCUCAGCGGAGGUAAAGCAGACUUUGGCAAUUAAAAAACAAAACAAAAUAAAACCAACCAACCAACCAACCAACCAAGCAGCCUUGUACAGAACAGUGAGGACGCCAAGGACGAGGAGUCUACAGCUUUACUGUAGGAUAUAUAUACACACAUAUGUACAUAUGUAUAUAUUUCUGAAAGGCCUCUCCUCCGCUGGCCGUGUCAACUCUCAGGUCACAGUCAGAAGCAUAUGACUUCAGAAUCACUUCUUCACUUCUCCAAGGUCUUCAAUGCUGUCAUCAUCUACCUAUAAGACACAGGUAAAGAACUUCAUGAAUUGUGGCAUAAAUUAAGAAAGAAAGAAAGAGACUUGCUUUAAAACCCUGCAUCUAUUGGUACAUGCAUCCUGUGCACUUACCUCUGGCCACUUUUCCUGAAUGACAUCGAUUAUGUCGUCUGUGAAGUCUCCCUGAAUGAUGAUCUCAUCCUCCCCUGUUACUGAGGCACCGCAGGAGAAUUUUUGAGCAAAAAAUCUUUGUGCUUCUUUGAGAUCAAUUUCUGUUUCGGUUUGUUUGUUUUAAAAAAGAAAGGGCGAGAGCAUAAUUGGAAUCAUAAAACAAAAGUAUUUCUUCAUUUUGAAA
Molecule: long non-coding RNA, 844 nt
Organism: Mastomys coucha (southern multimammate mouse)
Lineage: Eukaryota; Metazoa; Chordata; Mammalia; Rodentia; Muridae
Exons: 2
Source: RefSeq, a predicted model, not a curated record